RNAcentral lists this ribosomal RNA (484 nucleotides) under uncultured Flavobacteriaceae bacterium. Its description in RNAcentral is "bacterial SSU rRNA". It matches the Rfam family "Bacterial small subunit ribosomal RNA", at positions 28 to 505 of the family's 1533-position model. The record is from RNAcentral. Lineage: Bacteria; Pseudomonadati; Bacteroidota; Flavobacteriia; Flavobacteriales; Flavobacteriaceae.
GAUGAACGCUAGCGGCAGGCCUAACACAUGCAAGUCGAGGGGCAGCAUUUCCAGCUUGCUGGAAGAUGGCGACCGGCGCACGGGUGCGUAACACGUAUGGAACCUACCCUUGUCAGGGGGAUAGCCCGGGGAAACCCGGAUUAAUACCCCAUAGUAUUUUAGAGUCGCAUGACUUUAGGAUUAAAGAUUUAUCGGACAAGGCUGGCCCUGCGUACCAUUAGCUAGUUGGUGAGGUAAAGGCUCACCAAGGCCACGAUGGUUAGGGGCCCUGAGAGGGGGAACCCCCACACUGGUACUGAGACACGGACCAGACUCCUACGGGAGGCAGCAGUGAGGAAUAUUGGACAAUGGGCGAGAGCCUGAUCCAGCCAUGCCGCGUGCAGGAAGACAGCCCUCCGGGUUGUAAACUGCUUUUAUACGAGAAGAAUCGGUGCUACGUGUAGCGUUUUGACGGUAUCGUAUGAAUAAGGACCGGCUAACUCCG